This 74-nucleotide transfer RNA is filed under the name Gadus morhua (Atlantic cod). Its description in RNAcentral is "tRNA-Ile (AAT) (tRNA-Ile-AAT-12-1)". It matches the Rfam family "tRNA". Rfam says of the family: Transfer RNA (tRNA) molecules are approximately 80 nucleotides in length. Their secondary structure includes four short double-helical elements and three loops (D, anti-codon, and T loops). Lineage: Eukaryota; Metazoa; Chordata; Actinopteri; Gadiformes; Gadidae. The record is from RNAcentral.
GGCCGGUUAGCUCAGUUGGUUAGAGCGUGGUGCUAAUAACGCCAAGGUCACGGGUUCAACCCCUUGACUGGCCA